AUCCUUUUGUAGUUCAUAAGCGUGAUAACUGGGUUUCCACACACAUAUGAGAUGUGCCUCCCUCAAACCUUGCUACAGCGUUGGUACAUUAUCUGUCUAACA
Molecule: small nucleolar RNA, 102 nt
Organism: Macaca fascicularis (crab-eating macaque)
Lineage: Eukaryota; Metazoa; Chordata; Mammalia; Primates; Cercopithecidae
Source: Ensembl